GACGAACGCUGGCGGCGUGCUUAACACAUGCAAGUCGAACGGUGAAGCACCUUCCUUUUGGUGGGUGUGGAUGAGUGGCGAACGGGUGAGUAACACGUGAGUAACCUGCCCCCUUCUUCUGGAUAACCGCAUGAAAGUGUGGCUAAUACGGGAUAUUCUGGGUCUGUCGCAUGGCGGGCCUGGGAAAGAUAUUGUUUCGGUGGGGGAUGGGCUCGCGGUCUAUCAGCUUGUUGGUGGGGUGAUGGCCUACCAAGGCGGUGAGGGGUAGCCGGCCUGAGAGGGUGGGCGGUCACACUGGGACUGAGACACGGCCCAGACUCCUACGGGAGGCAGCAGUGGGGAAUAUUGCACAAUGGGCGCAAGCCUGAUGCAGCGACGCCGCGUGAGGGAUGGAGGCCUUCGGGUUGUAAACCUCUUUCGCCAGUGAAGCAGGCCUGUCCCUUUUGUGGGUGGGUUGACGGUAGCUGGAUAAGAAGCGCCGGCUAACUACGUG
RNAcentral lists this ribosomal RNA (493 nucleotides) under uncultured bacterium. Its description in RNAcentral is "partial 16S ribosomal RNA". It matches the Rfam family "Bacterial small subunit ribosomal RNA", at positions 28 to 507 of the family's 1533-position model. The record is from RNAcentral.